UCUGCCAUUGAGCUACACUAACAUUUAAAAAACAUCGUUGAGGCUGGAGAGUUUGCUCAGCAGUUAAAACACACAACCUGCUCUUCCACAGGACCCAAGUUUGGCUGCCAGCACCUGUGUCAGGUGGCCUGUGAUCUCAGUUCUAGGAGAUGCCUCUGGUCUCCUCAGGUGCUGCGUUCUGUUUACCCACUGUGCUGCUUAACUUUGAUGUCAACUUGAUAGGCCAUCGAAUCACUGUGGAAACCAAUUUCUGGGCAGGUGUGGAAGAGAUUCUCUAGAUUAGCUGGGAUUAAAGGCCUGUGCCACCACCGCCUUGCAUCGCAGUGGAUGGACUACAGAGAGCUGCUGAGUCCCUAUCAUACUGAACUGUGGAAGUGUUUGCCGCAUGCAGGCACUGCUCUAGGUACUGGGAACCCAGCAGUAACAAAACAGAUCAAAGAUACAGUGUAUGAAGGAGAGCACCACCGUCAAGAGGCAUCUGGAAAGGUCCAGACAGAAGCCAGCCAUGAGAGGAGAGGAAGGUGACCGGGGAGAGAGGGAGAGAGAGAAGGAGAGAGAGACCAGGAGCCCAGAGACCAGGAGGCUAAGGCCACAUAGCCAAACUGGUGGAGGUUACAUAGGACGCCUCUGCAACCCAGGAAAUGCAACCUGCAACACACCCAGGCAGUACGUUUCUGCACCGUGUAAGGGAAGCACUCUUGCAUAGAUUUCGAUGUGGAAAAACGUUCCAUAAAAACACUCCGGUGAUAGGAGUUUUUCAGCCCCAUUAUGAGCUUAUGAAACCAC
Mastomys coucha (southern multimammate mouse) is the source of this 786-nucleotide long non-coding RNA. RefSeq lists it as uncharacterized. The record is from RefSeq and is a predicted model, not a curated record. Lineage: Eukaryota; Metazoa; Chordata; Mammalia; Rodentia; Muridae. The transcript has 6 exons.